Whalleya microplaca is the source of this 109-nucleotide non-coding RNA. The record is from the annotation of a GenBank genome assembly. NCBI's taxonomy places the organism in Eukaryota, Fungi, Ascomycota, Sordariomycetes, Xylariales, Xylariaceae.
GGGCUCAUGGCCUAAUGGUAAGGCGUCAGAUUUCGGCUAUCCUUCAGUUCUCCAAACAUGGAGUGCAGCGUUUCUCUGAAGAUUGCAGGUUCGAUCCCUGCUGAGCUCG